Molecule: long non-coding RNA, 1178 nt
Organism: Pipra filicauda (Wire-tailed manakin)
Lineage: Eukaryota; Metazoa; Chordata; Aves; Passeriformes; Pipridae
Exons: 3
Source: RefSeq, a predicted model, not a curated record
GCCGGAGCGCCGUGACAGACCGGCCGGGGCGGGAUGGAGGGAGCCGCACGUCUCCCACUCCUGCCGCUAAGGCAGCUCCCUCGACUCGGAGCUCCAUACAGAUGUACGAGAGCCACCAAAGCCCUGAGAGGAUUCUGCAGCACUGCACCUGCUGUCCCUGAUGGGUAAAUUCAGAACAAUAUUUCAACAAAAGAUUAAUUUUGCCUCUGCGGGGAUGGAUAAAGAAAUUGAAGAACUGACUCCAAAUGUAAAUUCCUAUGCUUCCAUCUCUUUCUGAGAACCCUCUAGAUUAGCAGGCACGUUAUGAAAAGCACAAUGACAGAUUCCUUUUGUGCAGUGACUUCUCUUCAGAUCCCACAAAUAAGCACCAAAAAAAUUCUCAACUAAUAUGGAAUUUCAGCUCAGAUGGUCACAAAUUAACCAGAAAAGGGUGUACGUUCGUUUAAACAAAUUACACGCAUUUUCCAUUUUUGGUCUAUAGCAUAAAAAAAUUAGUUAAUUUUAAAUGCAAAACUUUGUACAGCAUGCAAAUCAUGUCUGUAUGUCAAAGUAAAAUAACAAACCUAAUGAGGAAUGUUAAAAAAGUAAGACCCAUUAGUUUAAAGAUACAUGGAAGCAGCCAAAGAUGACAAACAUGCAUAAAAUUCAAAACAUGAUGGAAAAGGGAACAAGCACUGAACCACAUAAAUCAGUGUUUUGAAUUCUAUUUCUCUGUGGGUAUAAUUGUACCUUAGUUUCUUAUAAUGAUUUAUUGAGGUAAAUAGUCUGUAUGGUUUAACAGCUACAGCUUCAAAGUGUCAGGCACAGACUCUCCUUUAUUCAUGAGGCAGCUGAGUAUUGGGAUGUGAAUCAGCUUCUGUAUUCUGGGACUUGGCAAAGUUUGUUUUUAAGGUCCUUAUAAAGGAUUCAUGUUGAUGCAGCCAUUCAAAUGUGAAAAACACUGAUGAAAUAGGAAAGCUUUACAGUAAUUCUGGGGGAAAAAAGUAAAAACACUGAAAUAAACCAUUCAGAAUUACCUUCAGCAAAAGAAAGGAACAUCCAGAGUUAAUUUUAAUACAGUCUAUCGUUUUGGGAAACACAGAAAGAAACUAAUUUCUUGAUGAAGUACAAAAGUGUGAUGGGAUUUCAGAAUUUACUUUUAAGUUGAAAUAAAAUAAAGUACAAAAGAAGAAAUGGUA